UCUCAGAACAAUAUCUUUUGGAGAUUCAAUAAAAAGAUUGAAAGAAAAAGAUUGCUCUGACAGAAAAAAAGAAUAAAUGGUUCAUUUAUGGCACCUUUUAAAAUCUGUUUUCAGAAAUUGCAUAUGCAAUAGAAAUUUCGAAGUACUGUCCCAAACCAGAAGAGGUUUGCUCCACUAAUAGCAGAAGUAUGUUGGAAUUCUGUGAGUCAGGCUUUAUGCAAUUUCUAGCGAAAUCUGUUCCAUAUCUGAAAGGCGAAAUGGAUGUACCUUUAACCCCUCCAUGCAGACAACAAAGAUCAUGGGUUAAUUUUCUGUGCACAGGACUUCAAGAAGAACCUAUUCCUCUUUCUGGUAACAGAGCAUCAGGCUGUUAAACUUGCAUAUCAGCGUUAUUCACUUACAGAAUUGAAGGAAAUGUUACCAGUUGAGGUAGAAGCACCAGUGCUUAGCUCACUUGAGAAGGGCUGGUGGCUUCAUUUGGGUUUAAAUCCAGUCUCCAUAGAACCUUUGGAGCAAUUAAAUAUGGAUGCCAGUAAUGCAAACCAUUUGCUUCUCACAGAAGUAGAAACAUUCACACAAUUUACAUCAUACCAGUUAGAAAGAUGGCUUGAAGAGAAGAAUUCCAUGACAAACCAGGAGCUUCUUUCUGCUGAAAGACAUCAGUUGGACAAAGUAAUUAAUCCUUCCGUGUCACCACAGACUCAAAGGCAGUGCUUUGCCCUGCACGUGAGUGCUGCACCAUCUGCCAAAAUUCACAGUACAAAUACAUCUGUGGAAGAGCUCACUGGAGGAAGCAUAAGAAAGAGUAAGGUAGAAGAAGCCAUUUAUUCCUUAAACCAAGAAAAGAAACCCACCAAAACAUCUGAAUCAAUCAGCUGUAAAGAUGUGUCUUCUAAACGAGACAACUCAUCCAGUAGUCAAAAGCCUGCAUCACUUGCACUUGCUACAAAAUGGGACAAUGAUGAUUCUGAUCUGAGCAACUUUAUCAUGCUGAGAUCUAAACACACACUCACCCACAGAGAAGAAGAAAAUGAUAUAAAUAGUCCUAGAAAAGGUAUGUGAACCAGAUUAGCAUGCCAUUUUCCAGGUUUAAAUCUGGUCUCUUAUUCCAGUUACAAUAAAUGCUAGCUCCUCUAAGUAGAUCUAUGGG
This 1150-nucleotide long non-coding RNA is filed under the name Calidris pygmaea (Spoon-billed sandpiper). Its description in RNAcentral is "lncRNA (ENSCPGG00000012166.1)". The record is from RNAcentral. Lineage: Eukaryota; Metazoa; Chordata; Aves; Charadriiformes; Scolopacidae.